This 206-nucleotide ribosomal RNA is filed under the name uncultured bacterium. RNAcentral's name for it is "partial 16S ribosomal RNA". It matches the Rfam family "Bacterial small subunit ribosomal RNA", at positions 568 to 774 of the family's 1533-position model. The record is from RNAcentral.
AGCGCAGGUGGUUGUAUAAGUCUGAAGUAAAAGGCAGUGGCUCAACCAUUGUGUGCUUUGGAAACUGUACAACUUGAGUGCAGAAGGGGAGAGUGGAAUUCCAUGUGUAGCGGUGAAAUGCGUAGAUAUAUGGAGGAACACCGGUGGCGAAAGCGGCUCUCUGGUCUGUAACUGACACUGAGGAGCGAAAGCAUGGGUAGCAAACA